RNAcentral lists this ribosomal RNA (867 nucleotides) under uncultured bacterium. Its description in RNAcentral is "bacterial SSU rRNA". It matches the Rfam family "Bacterial small subunit ribosomal RNA", at positions 51 to 913 of the family's 1533-position model. The record is from RNAcentral.
ACACAUGCAGUCGAGCGGAGAUGAGGUGCUUGCACCUUAUCUUAGCGGCGGACGGGUGAGUAAUGCUUAGGAAUCUGCCUAUUAGUGGGGGACAACAUUCCGAAAGGAAUGCUAAUACCGCAUACGUCCUACGGGAGAAAGCAGGGGAUCUUCGGACCUUGCGCUAAUAGAUGAGCCUAAGUCGGAUUAGCUAGUUGGUGGGGUAAAGGCCUACCAAGGCGACGAUCUGUAGCGGGUCUGAGAGGAUGAUCCGCCACACUGGGACUGAGACACGGCCCAGACUCCUACGGGAGGCAGCAGUGGGGAAUAUUGGACAAUGGGGGAAACCCUGAUCCAGCCAUGCCGCGUGUGUGAAGAAGGCCUUAUGGUUGUAAAGCACUUUAAGCGAGGAGGAGGCUACUGAGACUAAUACUCUUGGAUAGUGGACGUUACUCGCAGAAUAAGCACCGGCUAACUCUGUGCCAGCAGCCGCGGUAAUACAGAGGGUGCGAGCGUUAAUCGGAUUUACUGGGCGUAAAGCGUGCGUAGGCGGCUUUUUAAGUCGGAUGUGAAAUCCCCGAGCUUAACUUGGGAAUUGCAUUCGAUACUGGGAAGCUAGAGUAUGGGAGAGGAUGGUAGAAUUCCAGGUGUAGCGGUGAAAUGCGUAGAGAUCUGGAGGAAUACCGAUGGCGAAGGCAGCCAUCUGGCCUAAUACUGACGCUGAGGUACGAAAGCAUGGGGAGCAAACAGGAUUAGAUACCCUGGUAGUCCAUGCCGUAAACGAUGUCUACUAGCCGUUGGGGCCUUUGAGGCUUUAGUGGCGCAGCUAACGCGAUAAGUAGACCGCCUGGGGAGUACGUCGCAAGACUAAAACUCAAAAUGAAUUGA